CGAAAGGUGAACUAUUUGCAUUCCGAUGUUUACAUGUAGCGAUAAAAUACAUGCAACAAAGGCAGUAUUUAUAAUGCAAGAAAAGGAAAUAUUCAUUUAUAUUCUUCAUAGAACAUGUUCAAAGGAAUUUUUUACGAAAAAUUCCAAUCGGAUUAUUUCGACUACUUUAAGAAAACACAUUAAUUAAAGCUGAUAGAUGCUGAAACGUCGACAUCUGGUGAGCCGUACCAUCAAUUUCCAACACGCACGAACUAAGUGACAGACAAAUUUGUCUUAUUGUAUCCUUCUGUGUCUUAUCUUCGCACGAUCUUCGGUUAUUGCAAGUGAAACGCUACACUGCAAUCUGAGGAGCUCGAGAUGAGAGAUUACAUCGAUGCUUGAUGAACGUUGAGCGUUAUUUCAAAGAUUAUUCACUAUAAAAUAAACGAUAAAUUUCUCCAAACACGAACCCAGCAGGUAAACAGCAGAAGAAAUCACAACAGAGCUCGUCCCCGUUGCACUGAUGGAAGUUUUUGCCAUGAGAAGAACGGAAACGGAAUAACGGAGCCUUGUGUUUUCUGUUUUUCAACGGUUGACGUUGGAAACAUCACGGCGCGACAACAGAUUCACGUGUAAUGUGAGAUGGCAAACAAUUUGCCAUAAUCGACGACUAAGUUGUUCGGUUUGCGAUUGGUGUUAAUGAAUAUUCUUCGUUAAUCAGAAAUGUCCAAUAUUUUGCCUCUUGCAAAUGGAUAUAUAUUACCAUAUAAAGAUUAUUUCCACGAUUUGGCUGUCAUGCAAAGGAAGAUUCAAUUGGCUUGGUCAUCAUUUAACUAGUACGAGUCACGAGCACUGCAAUAAAGAAUGCAAAAGGAGCAAUUGCGUUAAGACGAUCAUGGUAACAAAAACAUACAAGCACGCAGCUGUAGUGGACUAAAAAGACAAAACCUUGCAAAAAAGAGCCUGUUAUAUAGUUGCAUGCAACACAACGAAAUUCCACGCUUCAUCUACACAGAAUGCCAUAAAAUUCCAAACAAAGUGCGGACACUCUUAUGGUAUUGCAUAACGAUCGUCUCUCCUGCAAAUCAAGAGAUAUCGAAGAUAAGUUUCUUCCACGAAGCGGCUGCAAUCGAUACAUCUGGUCCUGACGACGAACCGCGCAACGUCUUAUCUGCGCUCCUCGUUUUCUUGUCGACUUUCACGCGUAUGGAAGGGAAGGGGUGAUGGUCGUGGCCGGUAUCGCGACCGUAAAUCUUUUAUAGUUGGCUGUAUAUUCCGUUCGUAAUCAUACAGUGCUUAGCAUUUCACUCACCACAGGCCACGGUGUUAUUCCGCGGAACAGAGGCACAAUUUCUAUUUCUGCUUAUAAAUUCUACUCGGCCGAACAAACUUUCUCCUCGCGGGAGUACCUCGAAUUGAUGGACGUUCUGUACGUGGCCGCGAACACCAGGGAUAUUUCACUGGGUAAAGCAGGGUGAGGACCCAUUGGGAUGAGGUGGCA
Long non-coding RNA from Eufriesea mexicana, 1480 nucleotides. RefSeq lists it as uncharacterized. Lineage: Eukaryota; Metazoa; Arthropoda; Insecta; Hymenoptera; Apidae. The transcript is spliced from 5 exons. The record is from RefSeq and is a predicted model, not a curated record.